This is a non-coding RNA of Vicugna pacos (alpaca), 394 nucleotides long. The record is from RefSeq and is a predicted model, not a curated record. NCBI's taxonomy places the organism in Eukaryota, Metazoa, Chordata, Mammalia, Artiodactyla, Camelidae.
AGACGGUGCUCUUCCGAUUGAACCCUGGACCUCGUACAUGCUGCGCACAUACCGCUGAGCUACACCCUCCCUCCUGAGAAGUACAUCUUUACCAUGAUUUUUCUAACACGGGAUCAGACAGCUUGCAUGGCUCUCAGCACUAUUUUGCAGCCUCGCCCAGCAUGUCUAGUGUCCACUGUCAUUGCUGCUCGCUCACUGAGAUGCAGAACUCCACAGCCUGAAGGGCGUGACUCUCACUGAAUGCCUGCUCCAACGGCCCCAUCAGGGACUCCAGCCUUGCGCCCAGUCACCGAGCUUCCUCCUCACUCUCAUUCCUCAUGCCACUCUUGGUUGUUCUGCCAAGCUUCUUUGUUGCCAAUGAAACUGCCCCACGUUUGCCCAGGGGAAAGGUCGU